This 253-nucleotide ribosomal RNA is filed under the name uncultured bacterium. RNAcentral's name for it is "partial 16S ribosomal RNA". It matches the Rfam family "Bacterial small subunit ribosomal RNA", at positions 524 to 776 of the family's 1533-position model. The record is from RNAcentral.
UACGGAGGGUGCAAGCGUUAUCCGGAUUUACUGGGUUUAAAGGGUGCGUAGGUGGGUAGGUAAGUCAGUGGUGAAAUCUUCGAGCUUAACUCGGAAACUGCCAUUGAUACUAUCUGUCUUGAAUACUUUGGAGGUAAGCGGAAUAUGUCAUGUAGCGGUGAAAUGCUUAGAGAUGCGGAGGAACACCGAUGGCGAAGGCAGCCCCCUGGGCCAAUACUGACGCUCAGGCACGAAAGCGUGGGGAGCAAACAGG